AGAAGAAAUGGCCACCAAGGAUGAAACUGGAAAACAUCAACUUGUAAGACAGUGUCCCUCAUUCAUUUUUAACCCUUGAAAAUGCCUCCUCUUGAAAAUACAAAAAUCUCAGCUUACCUCUAAUCAUGAAGAGUGAACCACAAUUCAAGCACCAUUUAGGUAAUUUGUUUCAAUCCUGCCUCCUGCCACUUAGACUGUAAACAUUCAAGAAAAGAUGGGACAAUGGGAAGCUCCUCCCCCACCUCCCACUAGCCCUUGUCUACUUGUUUGGAAAGCCAUGUCUGUCAGUAUCCCAUUCUUGUCACCAAAAGUUGUCAAGUUAGCUUGCCAUAGUUUUGUAUAUGCUGGCGAAAGACAAGACUCCUAGGUCAGGAAAAAAAAAAAAGGACUUAUUACUCAUAGCAUAUCAGACAAGCAUGAGCAGCAUGAGCUUCUUGUUCAUGUCAUUUGUGCCCCUGAAAAUUUUACGGAGGUGAUGUGCGGUGGCCCAGGAAACAAGAAGAUUGUACUUGUCUGGCUCCUUGAAGUGAGGCAUAGCCAAGUGGCUAGUUUUGGCCUAUGAAAUGUGUGUAGAAGCGAUAUAUGUCACUUUUGGGAGGAAAAUUUAUUACCAAUGUUGUGGAAACAUGGGCUGGUAAAAGGUACCAUAAUACUAAGGCAACGUAGAAAGUAGGCCAACAUGCAAAGAAAAGCAAGCUGCUGAGGACUUCAUGUGAGCAAGAAUUAAACUUUAAUUCUGUUAAACUUC
This is a long non-coding RNA of Canis lupus familiaris (dog), 748 nucleotides long. RefSeq lists it as uncharacterized. The transcript has 4 exons. Lineage: Eukaryota; Metazoa; Chordata; Mammalia; Carnivora; Canidae. The record is from RefSeq and is a predicted model, not a curated record.